Molecule: long non-coding RNA, 1395 nt
Organism: Papaver somniferum (opium poppy)
Lineage: Eukaryota; Viridiplantae; Streptophyta; Magnoliopsida; Ranunculales; Papaveraceae
Exons: 2
Source: RefSeq, a predicted model, not a curated record
UAAGGCUGGUAAAUAUAGCCGGUUUUUGGGACGGGCCAAUUUUUCUGGGUUGAGUCUCUUAUUUAGUAGGCAAGCAUGAUUUGCUCAUGUGAAGGAUAUUAAGAAGUAAAAAUUACAGGGAGACUCAUUUUUCCAAUUUUUUCCAUUGUGAAACCCAUGAUCAGAAAUCUAAAGGCAAAAAAUUAUUCUCGAACCCAAAAUUAUUGAAAUUAAAUUUUAUGAUCUACUGCCAGCAGCGAUGGUAGAAAAAAUUACAUCGGAGAAAUCAUCGAAUGUGGGUUCUGAUUAUGUAUUCGAAUUGGGGUUGGUUGUACUUGAAUUUGUGGAGGAGAUGGAAUUAAACUGAAUCUGCUGGUGCUGUUGGAGUUUAUGAGCAGCAACUCUUCUCAAUCUCAAUUGAUGUUGAAUCUUCUCUUACUAUUAACAACAUCAGUUGAAAUUAGGCCAUCAUAUGGAUCAAUUUUGGAGGUCUAAUUGAGGUUUGAAUGUCAUCAAGGAAUACAAAGAGCAACAUCAGAUUGAGGGUAUGGUUUUACUGCACGAGACAGGGAUUUCAGUUGGUAGUAUUUGGUGAUGAAGUAUUGGCAUUUCUGGUGAUGGUUUAACAGCAAUAACAGGGGCAUUAAGUGAUUCCGGUGGUUGAAACUAGUGGUGUCUUUGAUGGGUUCUCACCCAAUCGUAGUGUCGAUUUAAGUUCUCUAGCCGAUGGGUUAAAUCGGUGGUUGGAGUCGCAGAACAGCUGGAGAUCUCACUACUAGAUGCAGAAGAUGUACAAGUGAAGAAAGAGAAGAUAGCGAAUGUGGUCAGUCGGCUGAUGGGUGAUGGAGAAGCUCGGGGAGAAGGCCAAGGUAGCUGUGGAAGAAGGUGGGUCAUCUUAUGAAAAAUUGACUGCUUUGAUUCAAGAGCUACAGAUGGUUAAGAAGGCAUCAACUACAAGACGCGGAGUUCCAGCGUCUUAGGUUUUUUAGCCUUCUGAAGUUAUAUAUUAACAACAUCAUGUAUUGUAUCAAUAGCAACAAAUCACUUGUUCACAAAUUCUUCAUCCUUUAACUAGGGAUCUUGUGGCCUCCACUAUUUGGACAGGAAAUAACAGAGAGGCUUGGUUGCAUGAAUUAUAGUUUGAAGCUUCAAUAAAAUUCCAACCAUCUGACUCCAAUAUAAUUCCCAUUCUCUCUUCAGUAUAAAAUUGGAUUCUCUCGCCCGUAUGUUAUACAACAGCUGAUUAGAGCUAAAAGGACGCUGCAGUUGCAAGGCAAGGGAGAUGGAAGUGUAGAUGGGUUUGGUGUGCGUGUGAUGUGUAUUUAGAAGAAAAUGGUAAAUGGAGGUGUGAAUAGUGAUGCAUAACAGGUUAUGCAUCUACAAAAUUUGUCGCAUAACUUGUUAUGAUUCUCGAAA